CAGCAGCCACGGUAAUACGAAGGGUGCAAGCGUUAAUCGGAAUUACUUGGCGUAAAGCGUGCGCAGGCGGUUAUAUAAGUCAGAUGUGAAAUCCCCGGGCUCAACCUGGGAACUGCAUUUGAGACUGUAUGGCUAGAGUGUGUCAGAGGGGGGUAGAAUUCCACGUGUAGCAGUGAAAUGCGUAGAUAUGUGGAGGAAUACCGAUGGCGAAGGCAGCCCCCUGGGAUAACACUGACGCUCAUGCACGAAAGCGUGGGGAGCAAACAGGAUUAGAUACCCCUGUAGUCCCUGUCUCUUAUAC
Molecule: ribosomal RNA, 301 nt
Filed under: uncultured bacterium
Lineage: Bacteria
Description: partial 16S ribosomal RNA
Rfam family: Bacterial small subunit ribosomal RNA
Source: RNAcentral